Molecule: ribosomal RNA, 456 nt
Filed under: uncultured bacterium
Lineage: Bacteria
Description: bacterial SSU rRNA
Rfam family: Bacterial small subunit ribosomal RNA
Source: RNAcentral
UACGGGAGGCAGCAGUGGGGAAUAUUGCACAAUGGGCGCAAGCCUGAUGCAGCCAUGCCGCGUGUAUGAAGAAGGCCUUCGGGUUGUAAAGUACUUUCAGUCGUGAGGAAGGUGUUAAGGUUAAUAACCUUAGCAAUUGACGUUAGCGACAGAAGAAGCACCGGCUAACUCCGUGCCAGCAGCCGCGGUAAUACGGAGGGUGCGAGCGUUAAUCGGAAUUACUGGGCGUAAAGGGCACGCAGGCGGUUAAUUAAGUUGGAUGCGAAAUCCCCGGGCUUAACCUGGGAAUGGCAUUCAAGACUGGUUAGCUAGAGUCUUGUAGAGGGGGUAGAAUUCCAUGUGUAGCGGUGAAAAUGCGUAGAGAUGUGGAGGAAUACCGGUGGCGAAAGGCGGCCCCUGGGACAAAGACUGACGCUCAUGUGCGAAAAGCGUGGGGAGCAAACAGGAUUAGAUACC